This is an RNA transcript of Pyrus x bretschneideri (Chinese white pear), 1561 nucleotides long. It is a transcript of the gene named syntaxin-71-like, with no coding region annotated. The transcript has 11 exons. Lineage: Eukaryota; Viridiplantae; Streptophyta; Magnoliopsida; Rosales; Rosaceae. The record is from RefSeq and is a predicted model, not a curated record.
UUCAGACGCAGACAGAAAGAGAGAGUUAGAGAGAGAGAGAGAGAGAGAGGCGCAAUGCCUGAACGAGACGUGACUCUCUCUCUCUCUCCCCUAUCUCUUUCUCUCUCUAACGCAGCAUCAGCAACCUUCUCUUUUGAUUCCGAGAGAAAACGAAGAAAAUGAGCGUGAUCGACAUUCUCUCCCGAGUCGACUCAAUAUGCAAGAAAUACGACAAGUACGACGUCGAGAAGCACCGCGACCUCAAUCCCGCCGGAGAAGAUGCCUUCGCCCGUCACUACGCCCGCGUCGACGACGAAAUCCAAGCCACUCAUCUGAAAGCCGAGAAGGCUACGAUGGAGAGUAAUCGGGCUGUGGCGGUUGCGACGUAUGUGGAGAUUCGUCGGACCAAGGCUCGGUUGAUGGAGGAACUUCCUAAGCUGCGCAAGUUGGCUCUGAAAAAGGUUAAAGGGCUAUCCCCUGAAGAACUAGAAACACGUAGUGACCUGGUUUUUACACUGCCUGAGAGGAUUCAGGAGAUUCCAGAUGGGACAGAAGCUGCAGCCAAAAAAGCAGGGGGAUGGGGAACUUCAGCAUCCCAUAAAAAUAUCAAAUUUGAUUCAUCAGAUGGGAACUUUGAAAGUGAAUUUUUCCAGCAAACUGAAGAAUCGAGUCAGUUCAGGAAGGAGUAUGAAAUGCGGAAAAUGAAACAGGAUGAAGGUCUAGAUAUCAUCUCUGAAGGAUUGGGUACUUUGAAAGAUUUGGCCCAUGAUAUGCAUGAGGAAAUGGAUCGACAAGUCCCGCUAAUUGAUGAGAUAGAUACAAAGGUGGACAAGGUUACAUCUGACAUAAAAAGUAAUAAUGUUAGGCUUAAGGAAAAUCUAAUCAAGGUGAGGUCGAGCCGAAAUUUCUGCAUCGACAUUAUUUUGCUUUGUAUUGUUCUGGGAAUUGCCUUCUAUCUAUACAAUAUACUGCGAUAAAGUUACUUUAAAAGGACUUCAGCAGCUUAUCGGACCAUAUCUGGUGUGCCUGAAACUAUUGCCUCCCGAAUGUGUUCUUUCGUUAAGGCACAUAGCUUUCAUCAAAGACUUCAUUACUUGAAGUAUGUAGCUAGGAAGGACAUUUCAUUAAACUCCUCAAAGUUGGCGGGAACCGUUGGAUUUGCUUUAGCUAUCUUUUCUCCCUUGAAAGCUCGCACUUGAAUUGGUCUCUAUCGGUGAUGGAGCUUGACCGGCGAGCAUGAAAGCUAAUAGUCGACAGUCUUUGUAUAGAAAAUCUGUGAUUAAAUCAGCACGAUGGAUUGGAUCUGUAGGCUGUGUCGGCCCAGCUUUUGGUAGGCACCUCCAAGAUUCAGUGUUGUAGAUGUCUUGAGGGUUGCAUGUGUUCUUUGUUGUGUUUCCUCGCUGUUGAACUCGACAUAGUACCCAAUCAUCCAACUGUUACAACAAGAAGCAUUUUUAUAUUAUUGCCUUUGGUCACAUUGUUUUGAUCAAAGUCGAUGUAUGAACUGGAUAACUGACUGAGUCGUAGUUAAAAAAAAAAAAAAAAAAAAAAAAAUGAAGACGGCUUAAAUAGUUAAAUCGAA